CCUACGGGUGGCACCAGUGGGGAAUUUUGGACAAUGGGCGAAAGCCUGAUCCAGCCAUGCCGCGUGCAGGAUGAAGGCCUUCGGGUUGUAAACUGCUUUUGUACGGAACGAAAAGCCUCUUUCUAAUAAAGAGGGGUCAUGACGGUACCGUAAGAAUAAGCACCGGCUAACUACGUGCCAGCAGCCGCGGUAAUACGUAGGGUGCAAGCGUUAAUCGGAAUUACUGGGCGUAAAGCGUGCGCAGGCGGUUUUGUAAGACAGAGGUGAAAUCCCCGGGCUCAACCUGGGAACUGCCUUUGUGACUGCAAGGCUGGAGUGCGGCAGAGGGGGAUGGAAUUCCGCGUGUAGCAGUGAAAUGCGUAGAUAUGCGGAGGAACACCGAUGGCGAAGGCAAUCCCCUGGGCCUGCACUGACGCUCAUGCACGAAAGCGUGGGGAGCAAACAGGAUUAGAUACCCUAGUAGUC
This 465-nucleotide ribosomal RNA is filed under the name uncultured bacterium. RNAcentral describes it as "bacterial SSU rRNA". It matches the Rfam family "Bacterial small subunit ribosomal RNA", at positions 338 to 795 of the family's 1533-position model. The record is from RNAcentral.